CCGCCCUUAGCUCAGUUGGAUAGAGCAACGGCCUUCUAAGCCGUAGGUCACACGUUCGAAUCGUGUAGGGCGGACCA
Molecule: transfer RNA, 77 nt
Filed under: Burkholderia vietnamiensis
Lineage: Bacteria; Pseudomonadati; Pseudomonadota; Betaproteobacteria; Burkholderiales; Burkholderiaceae
Description: tRNA-Arg
Rfam family: tRNA
About the family: Transfer RNA (tRNA) molecules are approximately 80 nucleotides in length. Their secondary structure includes four short double-helical elements and three loops (D, anti-codon, and T loops). Further hydrogen bonds mediate the characteristic L-shaped molecular structure. tRNAs have two regions of fundamental functional importance: the anti-codon, which is responsible for specific mRNA codon recognition, and the 3' end, to which the tRNAs corresponding amino acid is attached (by aminoacyl-tRNA synthetases). tRNAs cope with the degeneracy of the genetic code in two manners: having more than one tRNA (with a specific anti-codon) for a particular amino acid; and 'wobble' base-pairing, i.e. permitting non-standard base-pairing at the 3rd anti-codon position.
Source: RNAcentral